GUUCGUCACCCCUGGACAAGAAGCUCUGGAACAAGAGGGAUGGAGAUUCCAAGUUGAAGCCUAAAUCCCUAAAGAUCUGGAGAGAAGAUCCUCAGGAAGCAAUAAUGUCAUGAGUGUGCAACCCUAAAUCUUAGUGGGAUUUGUAUCUCAAACCAGAAAGGCCUUCAACAGACACUGGAUCCACCUGCACCUUGAUAUUCACCUUUGCAUCAUCCAGAAUGUAUAAGAAUCUUCAGUGGAGGACUCCAUAUCUCCAUGAUGUUACACCUGACCAAAUGAUGAAUCAUGGCCAAUGGAAUGUGAGCAGCCUUGUUAGAUUCUGCAGUUAAGAAAAUGCCGGGGUUCAAGUCUUGGCUCUGCUCAUGAUUUCAGUUUCCUGAUUAUGUGAACUCUGAAAUGGACAAGGUGAUAGUUAAUGCAAUUGGGUUCCUGCCACUCAUGGGAGAAGACCAGAUUGACUUCCCAGGUCGUGAGUUACCAUGGCCCAAAUCUGCUUGUUGACGACAUCUGGAGAGUG
Molecule: long non-coding RNA, 517 nt
Organism: Lepus europaeus (European hare)
Lineage: Eukaryota; Metazoa; Chordata; Mammalia; Lagomorpha; Leporidae
Exons: 4
Source: RefSeq, a predicted model, not a curated record